RNAcentral lists this unclassified non-coding RNA (417 nucleotides) under fungal sp. RNAcentral describes it as "partial internal transcribed spacer region". The stretch from base 1 to 46 matches the Rfam family "Eukaryotic small subunit ribosomal RNA", at positions 1786 to 1831 of the family's 1831-position model. The record is from RNAcentral. Lineage: Eukaryota; Fungi.
AAGUCGUAACAAGGUUUCCGUAGGUGAACCUGCGGAAGGAUCAUUCACUUUUCAUUUGGAGAAAUCCAUUUUAUUCCAAUCCACUUUUUCGUGCCGCGUUCUUUUUUUCAAAAUCCUGAGUAGUGAACGGCCAGGACAGCACGCGCUUCGUGUGUUUGUGUUUGGCUUUUAUUAUAUAUUGAAGUUUCACGAAACGGUCGAAAAUUUUUCUAACAUCGGGUUAGCAAAAACCUUUUUCGAACCUGCAUUUCAGUACGUAGAGCUCAUUCAUUGGUGCAGGCUAUUUGUUGUCUUUGAUGCUAGCUUUUGUCUGGCGUCCACUCUUUUUUGUAUUGGCUUCCAAGAAAUUGGGCUGAUUUACGAAACUUUGUUGAAUGUCUCAACACACAACUCUUUGCAAUGGAUAUCUUGGUUCUC